GGGGAAUAUUGCACAAUGGACGAAAGUCUGACCGAGCAACGCCGCGUGAGUGAAGAAGGUUUUCGGAUCGUAAAACUCUGUUGUUAGAGAAGAACAAGGAUGAGAAGAGAAUGUUCAUCCCUUGACGGUAUCUAACCAGAAAGCCACGGCUAACUACGUGCCAGCAGCCGCGGUAAUACGUAGGUGGCAAGCGUUGUCCGGAUUUAUUGGGCGUAAAGCGAGCGCAGGCGGUUCUUUAAGUCUGAUGUGAAAGCCCCCGGCUUAACCGGGGAGGGUCAUUGGAAACUGGGGAACUUGAGUGCAGAAGAGGAGAGUGGAAUUCCAUGUGUAGCGGUGAAAUGCGUAGAUAUAUGGAGGAACACCAGUGGCGAAGGCGGCUCUCUGGUCUGUAACUGACGCUGAGGCUCGAAAGCGUGGGGAGCAAAC
This 426-nucleotide ribosomal RNA is filed under the name uncultured bacterium. Its description in RNAcentral is "bacterial SSU rRNA". It matches the Rfam family "Bacterial small subunit ribosomal RNA", at positions 356 to 773 of the family's 1533-position model. The record is from RNAcentral.